GCCGGGUGCGGUGGCGCGCGCCUGUAAUCCAAGCUACCGGGAGGCUGAGGCUGGCGGAUCGCUUGAGCUCAGGAGCUCUGAGCUGCAGCGGACUAUGUCGAUCGGGUGUCCGCACUAAGUUCGGUAUCGAUAUGGUGCUCCUGGGGGAGCCCGGGACCACCAGGUCGUCUAAGGAGGGGUGCACCGGCCCAGGUCGGAGCUGCAGCGGACUAUGUCGAUCGGGUGUCCGCACUAAGUUCGGUAUCGAUAUGGUGCUCCUGGGGGAGCCCGGGACCACCAGGUCGUCUAAGGAGGGGUGCACCGGCCCAGGUCGGAAACGGAGCAGGUCAAAGCCCCCGUGCCGCUCAGUAGUGGGAUCGCGCCUGUGAAUAGACGCUGUAGUGCAGCCUGAGUAAUACAGCGGGACCCAGUCUUUU
This 416-nucleotide signal recognition particle RNA is filed under the name Larimichthys crocea (large yellow croaker). RNAcentral's name for it is "Metazoan signal recognition particle RNA (ENSLCRG00005000415.1)". It matches the Rfam family "Metazoan signal recognition particle RNA". Rfam says of the family: The signal recognition particle (SRP) is a universally conserved ribonucleoprotein. It is involved in the co-translational targeting of proteins to membranes. Lineage: Eukaryota; Metazoa; Chordata; Actinopteri; Sciaenidae. The record is from RNAcentral.